CAACUGUCCACAGCAUCAGCCUCACCGGGGUCCCCAGGUAGCACUACGCCUGGCCAUAUAACUGUCCACAGCCUCAGCCUCACCAGAGACCCCAAGCAGCACUAGGCCUGCUUAUCUGAAAUGCAGCUGUCUGCAGCCCCAGCUGCAUCAGGAACCACGGGUAAUGCCGUGCCUGCCCAUCAGAAAUACAACGGUUCAAAGCCUCAGCCUCACCAGAAGUGCCAGUUAGCGCUGUGCCUGCCCAUGGAAAUGCAGCUGUCCACAGCCUCAGCGUCACCAUCAGCCCUAGGUACCGCUGUGCCUGCCCAUUAGAAAAGCAGUGGUUUACAGCCACCACCUCACCAGGAACCCGAGGUAGCACUGUGCCUGCCCAUCUCAACUGCCCACAGAAUCAGCCUCACAAGGUACCCCAGGUAGCACUGUGUCUGCCCAUCUGAACCAUCCCCAGCCUCAGCCUCACCACGGACCCCAGGUACGACUAUGCCUGCUCAUCUCAGCUGUCCACACACUCAGCCUCACCAGAGACCCCAGGCAGCACUGUGCCUGCCUAUCAGAAAUGCAGCUGUCCACAGCCUCAGCCUCACCAGGAACCCCAGGUAGCACUGUGCCUGCCCAUCAGAAAUGCAGCUGUCCACAGCCUCAGCCUCACUAGGAACCCCAGGUAGCACUGUGCCUGCUCAUCUCAACUGUCCACAGAAUCAGCCUCACAAGGGACCCCAUGUAGCACUGU
This is a long non-coding RNA of Sapajus apella (tufted capuchin), 730 nucleotides long. RefSeq lists it as uncharacterized. The record is from RefSeq and is a predicted model, not a curated record. NCBI's taxonomy places the organism in Eukaryota, Metazoa, Chordata, Mammalia, Primates, Cebidae. The transcript has 3 exons.